AAAGUUCCUAUGGUUGAAACAUGGAAACAUGUGCUUGGUGUUCUCAACUUUAUGAAAGAAUUCAGCAAGAAGAAGAAAAAGAAAAGAAUAUCAAGCGAGAAGAAAUUCAACACCUAUUGAUGGGUGUUUGUUGGGGUCAUCCCAAUUGUUGUAGCAUAUUUUUUUUUAUUUUUUUAUUUUUAACUUAGGUUUAUUUCAUAUUUUUUUUAACUUGUAAUUCUUUGGACAUUUGAACAAUUUUUGGGUAGCAUCU
Molecule: long non-coding RNA, 253 nt
Filed under: Vigna radiata
Lineage: Eukaryota; Viridiplantae; Streptophyta; Magnoliopsida; Fabales; Fabaceae
Description: long non-coding RNA (VRAD_LNC000619)
Source: RNAcentral